AAACCAGCACCUCAAGUGGUCAGGAUGAUUAUUGGGCCUAAAGCAUCCGUAGCCGGCUCUGUAAGUUUUCGGUUAAAUCUGUACGCUCAACGUACAGGCUGCCGGAAAUACUGCAGAGCUAGGGAGUGGGAGAGGUAGACGGUACUCGGGAGGAAGGGGUAAAAUCCUUUGAUCUUUCGAUGACCACCUGUGGCGAAGGCGGUCUACCAGAACAUGUCCGACGGUGAGGGAUGAAAGCUGGGGGAGCAAACCGGAUUAGAAACCCCUGUAGUCC
This 274-nucleotide ribosomal RNA is filed under the name uncultured bacterium. RNAcentral's name for it is "partial 16S ribosomal RNA". It matches the Rfam family "Archaeal small subunit ribosomal RNA", at positions 473 to 747 of the family's 1478-position model. The record is from RNAcentral.